RNAcentral lists this ribosomal RNA (279 nucleotides) under uncultured bacterium. RNAcentral describes it as "partial 16S ribosomal RNA". It matches the Rfam family "Bacterial small subunit ribosomal RNA", at positions 524 to 789 of the family's 1533-position model. The record is from RNAcentral.
UACAGAGGGUGCGAGCGUUGUUCGGAAUUAUUGGGCGUAAAGGGCGCGUAGGCGGCAUGGCAAGUGGAUGGUGAAAUCCCUCGGCUUAACCGAGGAACUGCCGUCCAAAACUGCUUUCGCUUGAGACCGGGGAGAGGUGAGUGGAAUUCCCCAGUGUAGCGGUGAAAAUGCGUAGAUAUUUGGGGAGGAACACCAGUGACGAAGGCGGCUCACUGGACCGGUAUGACGCUGAUUGCGCGAAAAGCGUGGGGGGAGCAAAACGGGGGAUUAGAUACCCCC